This is a long non-coding RNA of Ananas comosus (pineapple), 319 nucleotides long. RefSeq lists it as uncharacterized. NCBI's taxonomy places the organism in Eukaryota, Viridiplantae, Streptophyta, Magnoliopsida, Poales, Bromeliaceae. The transcript is spliced from 3 exons. The record is from RefSeq and is a predicted model, not a curated record.
UUGGGAGCACGGUUGAGGACUUCGUCGCCGACGUCGCGCCGCGAGCCGUUCGAGCGCACGUGUUGCCGGGGCACUGCGAGGAGGCCGGGCGAGGGUGCGUCUUCGCCGUUCCUGUCGCCGCACCGCCGUUCAUCGCUGUUGAGAUUUCCUGCGUCGACUGUUAGUAUUUCGGCUCGUUCUCCGCGUAGGAGCGUCGGAUCGCGACGAAACUUGGUUCAUUGGAUUCUAGACUGCGAGAGGAUUCCACAGAGCCCUCAUUUGCAAUUUUUGGGCAAGCUUGGCGUUGGCUUGGCGACCGGACUUAGAGAUCCCCGAUUGG